AAUAGAAAUAUUAUUUCUAUUAUUAUUUUUUUAAUAUUAUUACUUAAGUCAUGAAUUUAUUCCGACUUGUCAAGAUAAUUAGAUCUACGAAUUUAUUUUAGAUUUAUUUUAUAGUCUAUCGAUAUUAGCAAGCGAGCAAUCAAGUAUCGAGCUGAUACAUAAAAACGCAUUACAUAUUACAGAUUUAUAAUUUCCAAGACACAAGGAUUCCAUUUCAUUUGUCACACCACAACUUUUACAAUCUAUCUUUUCCAAUUAUCACACAAGUUCCUAGCCCACAAUUCUAAAACACCAUCUGCUAACACAGAGAAAAAAAAAAGAAAAAAAAAAGGGGGGAUAGGAAGCUUGUGUGUGUGAAGCUGCUACAGCUACAGCUACAGCCGCACCCCCCCUUCAAUCCCCUUCUCCCUACACCCUACCUCCUCCUUAGCACACUCAUUCCCCCAAUCCCCUUCACUCUACCUCUGUAUCUAUUCUAUAGCACACUCAAAUCUACACCCAACAUUCCUCCUUUUAGCCUCAAACUUCAUCCAGC
This 535-nucleotide long non-coding RNA is filed under the name Salvia miltiorrhiza (redroot sage). RNAcentral describes it as "long non-coding RNA (SMIL_LNC002713)". Lineage: Eukaryota; Viridiplantae; Streptophyta; Magnoliopsida; Lamiales; Lamiaceae. The record is from RNAcentral.